RNAcentral lists this ribosomal RNA (497 nucleotides) under uncultured bacterium. RNAcentral's name for it is "partial 16S ribosomal RNA". It matches the Rfam family "Bacterial small subunit ribosomal RNA", at positions 28 to 507 of the family's 1533-position model. The record is from RNAcentral.
GAUGAACGCUGGCGGCGUGCCUAAUACAUGCAAGUCGAGCGAACAGAUGAGGAGCUUGCUCCUCUGACGUUAGCGGCGGACGGGUGAGUAACACGUGGAUAACCUACCUAUAAGACUGGGAUAACUUCGGGAAACCGGAGCUAAUACCGGAUAAUAUAUUGAACCGCAUGGUUCAAUAGUGAAAGACGGUUUUGCUGUCACUUAUAGAUGGAUCCGCGCCGCAUUAGCUAGUUGGUAUGGUAACGGCUUACCAAGGCAACGAUGCGUAGCCGACCUGAGAGGGUGAUCGGCCACACUGGAACUGAGACACGGUCCAGACUCCUACGGGAGGCAGCAGUAGGGAAUCUUCCGCAAUGGGCGAAAGCCUGACGGAGCAACGCUGCGUGAGUGAUGAAGGUCUUCGGAUCGUAAAACUCUGUUAUUAGGGAAGAACAAAUGUGUAAGUAACUAUGCACGUCUUGACGGUACCUAAUCAGAAAGCCACGGCUAACUACGUG